AACAUAUUUUUGUAUGGAAGACUAGUGAUUUUGUUGUUUUGAAUGGAACCAUUAAUUGAAUAGAGCGAAGCUCCUUAGCUUCCUCUUUCAAUGGCUUUCUUCUUGAAUGGAUAUUAACAAAAAAUCUCUCGUCUUUCUACAAAGUUUGCC
This 150-nucleotide microRNA precursor is filed under the name Belgica antarctica. Its description in RNAcentral is "mir-7 microRNA precursor". The record is from RNAcentral. Lineage: Eukaryota; Metazoa; Arthropoda; Insecta; Diptera; Chironomidae.